This 493-nucleotide ribosomal RNA is filed under the name uncultured bacterium. RNAcentral's name for it is "partial 16S ribosomal RNA". It matches the Rfam family "Bacterial small subunit ribosomal RNA", at positions 29 to 508 of the family's 1533-position model. The record is from RNAcentral.
AGUGAACGCUGGCGGUAGGCCUAACACAUGCAAGUCGAACGGCAGCACAGUAAGAGCUUGCUCUUACGGGUGGCGAGUGGCGGACGGGUGAGGAAUACAUCGGAAUCUACUUUUUCGUGGGGGAUAACGUAGGGAGACUUACGCUAAUACCGCAUACGACCUACGGGUGAAAGCAGGGGAUCUUCGGACCUUGCGCGAUUGAAUGAGCCGAUGUCGGAUUAGCUAGUUGGCGGGGUAAAGGCCCACCAAGGCGACGAUCCGUAGCUGGUCUGAGAGGAUGAUCAGCCACACUGGAACUGGGACACGGUCCAGACUCCUACGGGAGGCAGCAGUGGGGAAUAUUGGACAAUGGGCGCAAGCCUGAUCCAGCCAUACCGCGUGGGUGAAGAAGGCCUUCGGGUUGUAAAGCCCUUUUGUUGGGAAAGAAAAGCAGCAGGUUAAUACCCCGCUGUUCUGACGGUACCCAAAGAAUAAGCACCGGCUAACUUCGUGC